AUAUCCUCCUGCCUUCCAUCAGUCUGGUCACUAAUCUCCAUGCCUCGCUUGUUCCUGUCUCCUGUGCGCCCUCCCUGAUAGCCACACCUGGUUGGUUCCUUUGUGUUCAUUUUCUGUUCCUGGACACUUGAUUUCUUGUCAUCACAAAAAUUUUCAAGGCAACAAGGACAGAGCCAGGUUGGCGUUAGCCACCCCCCGCUCUCCAAGUCUUCCAGUCUAGACCCUUUUCCGGCCAGAUUGCAGCAUGCAUUGGAUACUGUAUCCCUCCUUCUGUCCACAAGUUCCACAUGAAAUCAGUGGUUGGACCUUUUUGUCCAUCUCCUGAGAAUUCCAGCUAAAGCAGGAUUACAGAGAAACGGCUGGAUGGAUCAUCAGC
Monopterus albus (swamp eel) is the source of this 376-nucleotide long non-coding RNA. RefSeq lists it as uncharacterized. The transcript has 4 exons. The record is from RefSeq and is a predicted model, not a curated record. NCBI's taxonomy places the organism in Eukaryota, Metazoa, Chordata, Actinopteri, Synbranchiformes, Synbranchidae.